GUCUAUGGCCAUACCACCCUGAACGCGCCCGAUCUCAUCUCAUCUUGGAAGCUAAGUAGGGUGGGGCCUGGCUAGUAUUUGGAUGGGAGAAAGUGGGCAUGUUUAGAGA
RNAcentral lists this ribosomal RNA (109 nucleotides) under Microcebus murinus (gray mouse lemur). The record is from RNAcentral. Lineage: Eukaryota; Metazoa; Chordata; Mammalia; Primates; Cheirogaleidae.